Molecule: RNA transcript, 2593 nt
Organism: Alligator sinensis (Chinese alligator)
Lineage: Eukaryota; Metazoa; Chordata; Crocodylia; Alligatoridae
Gene: CLCC1
Gene name: chloride channel CLIC like 1
Exons: 13
Source: RefSeq, a predicted model, not a curated record
AAUGUUGUACUCAAUCAAUUAUGGAUGAGUAGUAUAGCUACAUUACUGUACAUAUAUUUAAAAUAGCAAUAAUUGAUUUGGAAGGACUUUUUUGAGAUGACUUUCCUAGACUUUGUGAAGGGCUCUUCGCUGCAGCUUUUUCUGAAGUCUUAUCUGCUUUCUUAAAGUGUCCAAGGAAGUUUGGACAGAUGUUCUCCAGGGAGACGGGUGACCCAGCGAACUCAUUCACUGGCAUGGCGCUGCAUCAGAUCAAGCGUUGUAAAGUCGAAACUGACAUCAGGAAGUCAAAACGGGGUGUCAAUUUAUAAGGUCCUCAACUCAUGAUGUUUUAAGUCGAGGGCUGUCUGUACUGUACUUACAGCGCAGGGGAUCAGUCUCCCCCAUACACCUCAAGCCGCAUCCCUGAGCAGUAACAGCACCAACCCCCGUGGGAGUACUGCCGCGAGGGGGACACUUGCGGGGCAGCCCUGUCCUGCUCCCGCCUCCGAGUCCAGAGAGGCAGCUGGGAGCGGGGAACCCCUCACGUGCCUCAGCUAAGAGCUCAAGGCAGCGCCCAGCAGGCGCCGCCCGCGCGAGUCCUGGCCACAGUCCGGCUGCAGAGGGGGCCCCGGAGACUUGUGGGAAGGGCGGGGCGAGAGCCCAGCACUACUCUUCCGCCCCGCCCCAUUGGCUGCCCGUCGUCACGUGCUUGGGGAGCCGACUUGCUGCGCUGAGGCGGCUGUGCCAGUUUCCUCAGUCGUAGCCGCGGGGCGUGAUACAAGAUGCACCUUCCUUUGGUACUGUGCACAGCUCUGCUGAUAGGAAGUGGCAGUGCUCAGGAUGACGAUUGGAUUGACCCCACAGAUAUGCUCAAUUAUGAUGCAGCUUCAGUGAGCAUGCGAAGACCUAACAAGGUAAAUGAUGAUGAGUCUGAGACCGAGAAGACAGUGAAUGCUGAUGAGAGCACUGCAAGCCAAGAGGACUCGCAGGGUUGUCAGAGAACAGUGGAAUCCCUAAUGCAGCAGAUUGAGGACUAUAAGAAGAAGGAGAAGAUCAACUCAUAUGAAAGCAGCAGCAUUCAUAUUUUUAGGCGUUACUUGAAUAAAAUUCUAAAUGAAAUUAGAAAACUUGGUUUUCCUAAUGAAAAUACUGGUAGCAUGCAUUAUGAUUCUGAGAUCGUCCUUACAAAACAAACUCUUUCAGAGAUCGAAAGGUUUCUCCAUGAGGAGGACUUGCAACCUGCUGCUUUGGAUGAUGCCCUUAAUGAUAUGCAAACUAAUUUUAAGCAUCAUGAUUAUGAGGCUUGGAAAUGGAGGUUUGAGGACGCAUUUGGAGUUUGUCCAUACGAUAUCUUUAUGGGACUCUUGUGUUUAGUGUGCAUUGUUGUAAUCAUAGCUACUGAGUUAUGGACAAGGAUUUCCUGGCUUACUCAGAUAAAACGUGUGUUCUUAAUUUGUUUUCUCAUCAGUUUUGGAUGGAACUGGGUUUACUUGUAUAAGGUGGCCUUUGCACAGCAUCAAGCAGAAGUAGUUAAAAUGGAGAAGUUUGACAAUGUGUGUGCUGAGAAGAUCAGCUGGAGUGGGAAUCUGUUUGAAUGGUUUAGAAGUUCAUGGACAUUCCAGGAUGAUCACUGUCAGAAGUACUAUGAACUUAUAUUAGUGAAUCCUAUUUGGCUGGUUCCUCCAACAAAGGCAUUGGCCGUUACAUUCACCAAUUUUGUAACAGAGCCACUGAAGCACAUAGGACAAGGAAUUGGCGAAUUUAUUAAAGGGCUUAUGAAAGAGAUACCAAUAUUGCUACAGGUUCCAGUGUUAAUCAUCAUGGCUCUGGCUGUUCUGGGUUUCUGCUAUGGUGCAGGAAGAUCUGUUAAUUUAUUCAGGGCUUUAACAAGCUCUGAGAGGGAACCGCAGUCUUCACUUCCUCCAAGUGACAGACCGAAGGGGGAACCAAAAGAGUAUGUGCAAUAUAUCUGUGCAGGUGAUUCAAAUAUCCGUCAUAGGAUGAAUGCUGGACACAUCGAUGUAAGAACUUAUGAGAGAGGAGAUGGUCUGAGAGACGGAGAAGGUCAGAUGAGACCACAAAAUGGCAAAAAAAACUCUGAAGUUCUGCAAGCAGGUGAUAUGCCAGACGCACAAAUUGAAGAGCACACCAAGAUGGCAACCAGUAGCUCAGUAACACAUCAGCCAGUGAAUGUGAAUUACCCUCAAAAGGAAUUGAAGAAAAAGAACAGUGUGGACAUUUCUUUGCUUCGGUUACAGUCAAGCGUAUGGGUUCGGGUUACAGUCAAUGACGAACGUGGCGCCGGAACGAGCUAUCGUGCCUGCAGGGCUUUACUACGUCAAGAUUUACGAUGAUGGGGAGUGAUUGACGGGUGAUCAGACCGCCAAGCCACUCUGGUGAUGGACUCAGGUUUCUCCUCAGAGAUUUCCCCAGAGUUCUCCGGCUUGGGCGGAAGUUGCUAAACUAUUUAUAGACAGAGAACGGAUUGCACGCUUCUUCUGAAGAACAGGCUGUUUGUAGCGUGAAAAGGAGCAAAGAUCAAAGCCAUGAAGGAGAGAUUGCACCUGAACAGCAGAAACUGUGCACACCUGGAGAUUUACAAGCAUCUGAAGCA